UAUUUUGGUUCAAUGAAUGGAUUCACCCGCGAGAUGACGUGACUGUUUCAUCAAGGACGAGGACAUGACAUCAUAUUACCCGCCAUCGCACGAAAUUAAUAGGAUGCCACGUCCUUAUUCUAGAUGGAACAAUCACGUCAUCUCGCAGGUGAAUACAUUCAUCGAUAGUGUGAUU
Non-coding RNA from Oryza glumipatula, 175 nucleotides. NCBI's taxonomy places the organism in Eukaryota, Viridiplantae, Streptophyta, Magnoliopsida, Poales, Poaceae. The record is from Rfam.